CUCUUUCUUGUACUGAGAUGGGAGGUGGCUGGUGAGGGAGGAGCCCAUGAGCUCGCAGGCAGUGCCGCGCCUCCGGCCUCUGCGUUUGCCUUUAACACUAACUGUACUGUUUUUUCUAUUCACGUGUGUCUAGCUGCAGGACGUAACAUGGAAAACAGUAGCUGAAGAUUACAUUCAAAGGACUUUCUUAAGGUUAAGUUUUUACAUUUAAUCUGCUGUUUACCUAAACUUGUAUGUAUAAUUUUUGGGUGGGUGUGGGAAAUUGCUUUGCUAAAAAUAAGCUCCCAGGGUGUUUCAAACCUAGAGAAGACCACGGGACAGUAUUUUUUAUCAAAGGAAUCCUAUUUUUUCACACUACGUAACCUGGCUGCUCUGAUGCCCCAGAGCGGAACGGGGCCUCCCGCCCUGGCUCAGGGGCCAGGGCCCUGGUGCUGGGCUUGCUCCCCACCGUGGCCACGGCUGGAAGCAGGAGGGGCCUCCAGGCCGUGGACACCCCCCCACACCCCCUGCACGCUCGCAGCUCACCACCCAGGGGUCUUCAUUUCCAUCGAAACGGGGCUCCAGGAGGCAUGGGCCACGGCCCCAACCUCGGUGCUGCAGGGUGGGCCAGCUGCUCGGGUGCCUGGGGAGGUCGAGGGGCCCGACCGCAUCAGCCUGGUUUCUUUCACCUUCUGUGUUUUCCCUCCUCAAAGGAGCACCAUGGCUUUUGAAACACUUAGUGGGGGACAUUUUGGUGAAGAUGCAAUAUUUUUAUCUCAUGUGAUGCUCUUUCCUCACUUGACCUUGGCCACAUUGUCCCCACAGUCCACAGCCCCCCACCCUGACCCCCACCCUCUUCUCUGGCGCUCCAGUGCCAGGCCCGGGGCCUGGCGGCUGGGAGGGGCUGGCGGCUGGGGAGGAGUGCCAGCAAUAGUUCGUAGUGAAAACCUGUGGGCUCUCAAAGCUAAUUUUUUACUAAAGUUUUUAUACAGCCUCAAGUUGUUUUAUUAAAAAAAAGAUUUAAAAUGGUGAUGCUUACAGCAGUUUGUACAAGCUCUUAGUGUCGACUCCAUGGAACUGACAGCUUCGCUCAUUUUGAUUUGGUUUUAUUUUUUGCCCCUUCUUUCCUUCCUUCCUUUUUUUGUUCGUUUGCCCCUUUCUUUCUUACCGGUUUAAGUUUGGGGUUACACUGGGGUCCUUUGGCCUUUUUUAGCAGAGUGUCCGUCUGUCCGUCCAUCUGCAUCUGUCCCGGGACUCAGGGCGCCCCUCGCUGGAGCCGCCUCCUUUGGGAGGAGCCAUGGGGCGUGACCUUGAGGCUGAGCGGGCUGGCGGACGGAGGGGAGGAAAGCCUUUCCAAUAAUGCCGAGCGUGGUGGGCCGGCUCCCUGGGACACGAGCAGCACUUCUAAGCCAUAUAGACCUGCAGAGGCCCGGGCUGCUCUGGAGGGAGGCCCCGAGGUCUGCCCCCGGCCUUCUCCGCAGGCCCAGCCCUCCCUGCCGGCCCCAGUGGAGCUUGAGUGGGCAGUGCUGUGGGGCGCCGGCAGACGGAGGCUCUGUGGACAUCGGGUGACCAGGCCUGUGCCUCCAAGUCCUGAUCCAAGCCAGAGUUCCCCGAUGCCCCAGAGGCAGGAGCACACGUGGGUCUGACCUGGAGAGGCCAUUUUUGAUGACCUCAUCAGAAAGUAAACAAUUCUGGCGUUCCAGGUGAGGGCUCUGACAGGCUUUCCCAACAGCACAGUUGCCCCUAGCAACCCCACCAUGAGGCACGGCCAUGCAGAGAUGUGGCUGGCCCAGAAUGGCCCGUUGCCAUAGCAACUGGAGGCACUGGGGCAGUGAACAGAAUAACAAGAGCAACAAUGCCCUUGCAGGCACCCCCCCCCUUCCCCCCCUACGGGCUGCUGAUGGCCCAUGGUGUCGGACUCUGAGACAGCCGGCCUCACAUUCAAGUGUUCACCAACCACUGGCGUGUUUUAUUUCCUUCUGUAUGGGUUUCAGACGUGUUUUCUGCAUUCUGUAUAGAAACAUAUCAAACUAAAUAAAAGCAGUGUCUUUAUUACAA
Pipistrellus kuhlii (Kuhl's pipistrelle) is the source of this 2037-nucleotide long non-coding RNA. RefSeq lists it as uncharacterized. Lineage: Eukaryota; Metazoa; Chordata; Mammalia; Chiroptera; Vespertilionidae. The transcript has 4 exons. The record is from RefSeq and is a predicted model, not a curated record.